AUAGAGAAAGGCCAAGCCCAUUUCUUCUUGGAUACUCAUCACGAGGGCCCUCCAGAAGCUAUGCAGGAAUCGCAAAGCCAGAUAUUAUGGCUCCAGGGGCACUUAUUCUUGCAGCAGUUCCACCUAAUAUCCCUUCGGUUUCUAUUGAGAACCUACAAUUAACCACUGAUUACGAGCUUAAAUCAGGCACAUCCAUGGCUGCACCUCAUGCAGCUGGAAUUGCAGCAAUGUUAAAAGGCGCACAUCCUGAUUGGAGUCCUUCAGCAAUUCGCUCUGCCAUGAUGACAACCGCAAACCAUUUGAAUAGUGCACAAGAUCCUAUUACAGAGGACGACGACAUGGUAGCCUCGCCUCUAGGCAUCGGAUCAGGGCAUGUUGAUCCAAACAGGGCACUUGAUCCCGGCCUAGUAUAUGAUGCUACUCCACAAGAUUACAUAAAUCUUAUAUGCUCUUUGAAUUUCACAGAAGAGCAGUUCAAAACAUUCGCAAGAUCAUCAGCCAAUUAUCACAACUGCUCAAAUCCAUCAGCUGAUCUCAAUUAUCCAUCAUUCAUUGCCUUUUAUUCAUACAGCCAGGAGGGUAACUACCCCUGGUUGGAACAGAAAUUCAGGAGAACCCUUACAAAUGUUGGUAAAGGUGGGGCAACUUAUAAAGUAAAAAUAGAGUCUCCCAAGAACUCUACAAUUUCAGUGUCACCACAAACAUUGGUGUUCAAGAACAAAAAUGAGAAGCAAAGCUAUACUUUGACAAUUCGCUAUAGAGGCGACUUCAACUCAGGUCAAACUGGGUCUAUCACUUGGGUUGAAAAGAAUGGAAAUCGUUCAGUAAGAAGUCCAAUAGUGUUAACUACCACAGUUGAUUUGUGGGGUGCAGAAGAUUAAGAUUUAUGAUCAUGACGUUAUGUAUGCUUAAUGAACAAGUUUGUGUUAGAAAGAGUUCAAUAAGCUUUCCUAGCAAUGUACUACAUAUAAAUAAUUUGCCUAAUAAGAUAAACAGCAUAGAACUCUUUUAGCAUGAAAUAUUUCUUUUAGCAUUUGAAAAAGUUUAAAAUAACAUACUGGAGAUAUUUAUCAAUUAUUAAAAAGUUAAACAUAAAUGUUUCUGGUUGGAAAUCCAAAUACUUUUCAAACGAUAAUUUGGAAUGAACAAUAUAAGUGAAGAAGUUGAUGGAUCGAUGACAAUUUUGAGCCUUUCUUAGAGGGCAUGGCAAUAUUGAAAAAUUUAUUUGUUUGUUAAACAGAAGACAUUUUCAAUUCAAUACCAGAUCUCAAACAGAAAGACAUUUUCUAUCUUAAAGUUCGAACCUGAAAUUUAGUAGGACAGAAUCUCAACUGUCCCACCAUAUUAGUGUAUGUACUUUUAAAUUCUGGUUAAACCCAAAAGUUAGUAGCUCACGAGGUAAGAAUUCAUUAAGUCCAUCCAUAUAACUAAGCCACUAGUUUAUCCCCCGAAACUCUAACAGCAGAGUUACUAAUUCUUAAAGCAUAAUUAAUUUCAUCAGUUGUGAAUGAAUUUCCAGAAUAUCUAUCAACUUCCGGAGGCAGAUAGAGACACGAGUAACAAACUUCACUUCACUUCAUGUUGUUGAUGCUCUACUACUAAUUCUGCAAGUUACAUGAUGAUCAGAAUCUAUAUGCAGAUGAUCCUAGAUUGGAUCGGUAAGUUCUUUGUUACUAUGACACUCUCUUAGUGAGGCUCUUUAACGAAUGCUUAAGCCUUGAACAUAAAUUGUGUAAAUGAACAUUCAUAUCAAAUUAUUUGUGAUGAUGGGUGUUAGAUUAGCGGGCUGGAUCAAACUUAGAACGUGUUAAAGUGGAUUGAUUUCGUAACCAAAUAAUGACCAAUCCAAGAAACACAAUCAAAUGAUUUCCCUGAAAACCCAAAUACUAACAGUGUAGGUACAUACAUACGUUUAUUUGGUUUAAAGUAAGUUGUAAAGGAUCUUCAAGAUCCCCAGACUUCUUACAGUGUGAUUUCCAUUCUUUUCAACCCAUAAUUAACACAAAACUUCGGAUUGCCUCUAUAGUGAAUACUCAAACUAUAGCUCUUUUUCUCAUAUUUUCUCCCAAAAGCUAAAACUUGUGGGGAUACUGAUAGUCUGGCAUUUUCUGGGAGUUUCCACUUUUGCUGUAUAUUUAGCUGCACCAGAACCAACAUUCGGUAACCAUCCUUGUGAAUUUCUUGACCAAUCAAGGGAAAUUUUUCCUCUCAAGGUCAGAUUCCCAUAGAGCAAUGCAUGAUGGAUAGUUGAGAUCAGCUGAUGGAUUUGAGUAGUUGUGGUAAUUGGCUGAUGAUCUUGCAAAUGUUUUGAAUUGCUCUUUAUAGUGCAUAUAAGAUUGACGUAGUCUUGUGAAGUAGCAUCAUAUAUUAGUCCUGGAUCAAGAGCUUGAUUUGGAUCAAUGAAUCCUGCUCCCAUGUUUAAUGGUGUGGCUGGUUCGUUAGUAUUAGAAUAGAUGAUUCAAACACCAACAGGACAACAAUUUUCAAACUAAUCUAAGACUUGUCCUAUUCCAGAAUCAACAAUGUAACCUUGUAAUAAUUGAACCAUUCACUUUCGGUCAGAGUUAUUUUUUAGGAAACAUGAUAUAAGUUGAGUGCCCAUUUGAGAAAUUUACCCUCAACUAGUAGCUUUUAAAAGGUCAUGAGCUAUAAUUCCUAGUAAAAUAUCUUAAUUUUUUUUUUCUUGAAAGCCCUAUGUUUACCAAAAUAUCUUACAUUAUAAUGAUAUAUACCUUAUAAGACAAUUCAAGGGGACCCAACUGAAUAUAUCCACUUGGGUUGGAAAGGGUGGGAGGCAUCACUAUCUACUUAUCUAAAUGUGCUUAAUUAGCUGGCUACUUGUAGCAGUCCCUACUCUGCAGGUGGACUGGUGAGGUCUUUAAAGUCUCAUUUAUUCAAGCAAAGUCUAAGACUUCUCAACAUGUAUGUUAGUACAAAUGAAAGUAACUACUCAAAUGAAGGUAACAAGAGUUUCAAAAACCCAAACAGUUUUCAAAAAGAAUGAUAUUAUUAUCUGUUUUUUUCUUUCAGAAAUUCACUUUUAAGUUCUGUAUAGUUUGCUUAGACAUUAGAUCACUAUCCAAAAUUCAAUGGGCACGAUUAAUCCAGAAUUAGGAGAUAAAGCUCCAUCCGCCAAGUGCCAACCCCCUCCCGGCCCACUACCUACUACUGCAUGAUUGAUUUGAGUCAUUCAUCAAAUUAGGGACCACGGAAUAUGUAUCUAUGGCCUUUUCCCCCUGGUUCAGUAUCACCUCCACAGCUCCACUGCACAAUUGCUCUGUUCAUUCAUAAAACUUGAUUGGGUAAGUUUACUUUUACACAAAUCUUCUGUCAUUUCUACAUUAGUCACUCAAGAACUCUUCUCCACCUAACGGUAUUAAUUGUUACAAGGACCUGAUCUUUCAUUGCACUCUUAUAUAGAGUCAAUUGAAGAUUUGAGUGGUGUGUAGUGAAUAAAUAUGGAAACUAGAAUACUGCUGUGGCUUUAUUCUCCAUAUCUAGUCUUGUUGUCAUGGGCACUUUCUGCUCAUCUCUUUUUAGCUAUAGCACAAAGAUCCACUUAUAUUGUCCAUUUGGAUAAAUCUUUAAUGCCUAAUGUCUUUCUUGAUGACCAUCAUUGGCAUUCUUCUACAAUUGAUUCCAUCAAAGCUUCUGCUCCUUCAUCAGCAGACAGAUUCCACUUUGCUCCAAAACUUGUUUACUCUUAUGACCAUGUGUUUCAUGGCUUCAGUGCUGUUUUGUCCAAAGAUGAACUGGCAGCGUUGAAGAAGUCACCAGGUUUCAUCUCAGCUUAUAAAGACAGAACUGUGGAACCUGACACUACUUACACAUCUGAUUACCUCAAACUCAAUCCCUCAUCUGGUCUAUGGCCAGCUUCUGGUUUAGGCCAAGAUGUGAUCAUUGGUGUUCUUGACGGUGGCAUCUGGCCCGAAUCUGCAAGUUUUCAAGAUGAUGGUAUUCCUGAAAUCCCCAAAAGAUGGAAAGGAAUUUGCACUCCAGGCACCCAGUUUAACACUUCCAUGUGCAACAGAAAACUCGUUGGGGCUAAUUACUUCAACAAGGGCCUUUUGGCUGAUGAUCCCACUCUGAACAUUUCCAUGAAUUCUGCUAGGGAUACUAAUGGCCAUGGCACACAUUGCGCUUCCAUUGCUGCUGGGAACUUUGCGAAAGGUGUUUCCCAUUUUGGAUAUGCACAAGGAACAGCAAGAGGGGUUGCCCCACAAGCUAGGAUAGCUGUAUACAAGUUUAGCUUUCGUGAAGGAAGCUUAACAUCGGAUCUAAUUGCUGCUAUGGACCAAGCUGUUGCAGACGGUGUUGACAUGAUAUCCAUUUCUUUUAGUAACCGUUUCAUUCCCUUAUAUGAAGAUGCUAUAUCUAUUGCUUCUUUUGGAGCUAUGAUGAAGGGAGUGCUGGUUUCAGCUUCAGCUGGAAAUCGAGGUCCAAGUUGGGGAACUUUAGGCAAUGGAUCUCCAUGGAUCUUGUGCGUGGCAGCAGGCUUCACCGACCGGACGUUUGCAGGAACGUUAACUUUGGGCAAUGGAUUAAAAAUAAGGGGGUGGAGCUUGUUUCCUGCAAGAGCCUUUGUCAGGGAUUUUCCGGUGAUUUACAAUAAGACUCUAUCUGAUUGCAGUUCAGAUGAGUUGUUAUCACAAUUUCCUGAUCCCCAAAACACCAUCAUCAUUUGUGACUAUAAUAAACUUGAAGACGGUUUUGGUUUUGAUAGUCAAAUUUUUCAUGUCACUCAAGCAAGAUUCAUAGCAGGUAUAUUUAUCUCUGAAGAUCCAGCAGUGUUCAGGGUUGCUUCUUUUACCCACCCGGGAGUUGUGAUUGACGAAAAGGAAGGGAAACAAGUCAUCAAUUACGUUAAAAACAGUGUUGCUCCCACUGCUACCAUAACAUUCCAAGAAACAUAUGUGGAUAGAGAAAGGCCAAGCCCAUUUCUUCUUGGAUACUCAUCACGAGGGCCCUCUAGAAGCUAUGCAGGAAUCGCAAAGCCAGAUAUUAUGGCUCCAGGGGCACUUAUUCUUGCAGCAGUUCCACCUAAUAUCUCUUCGGUUUCUAUUGAGAACCUACAGUUAACCACUGAUUACGAGCUUAAAUCAGGCACAUCCAUGGCUGCACCUCAUGCAGCUGGAAUUGCAGCAAUGUUAAAAGGCGCACAUCCUGAUUGGAGUCCUUCAGCUAUUCGCUCUGCCAUGAUGACAACCGCAAACCAUUUGAAUAGUGCACAAGAGCCUAUUACAG
This 5244-nucleotide long non-coding RNA is filed under the name Solanum lycopersicum (tomato). RNAcentral's name for it is "long non-coding RNA (SLYC_LNC000505)". Lineage: Eukaryota; Viridiplantae; Streptophyta; Magnoliopsida; Solanales; Solanaceae. The record is from RNAcentral.